UCCGUGUUAACCACGGCAGUCUCUUUAGAGAGCCCAACUUAAUGCUGGCAACUAAAGACAAGGGUUGCGCUCGUUGCGGGACUUAACCCAACAUGUCACCACACGAGCUGACGACAGCCAUGCAGCACCUGUCACUCAGCGGUAUUGCUACCGAAGCACUAUCUCUAGUGCGGUCCGAGGAUGUCAAACCCAGGUAAGGUUCUUCGCGUUGCUUCGAAUUAAACCACAUGAUCCACCGCUUGUGCGGGCCCCCGUCAAUUCCUUUGAGUUUUAGUCUUGCGACCGUACUUCCCAGGCGGGAUACUUAUUGCGUUAGCUCCGGCUCGGCAGGGGUCAAGACCCACCAAGCCUAGUAUCCAUCGUUUACAGCGUGGACUAC
This 379-nucleotide unclassified non-coding RNA is filed under the name uncultured Oligoflexales bacterium. RNAcentral describes it as "contains 16S-23S intergenic spacer region". Lineage: Bacteria; Pseudomonadati; Bdellovibrionota; Oligoflexia; Oligoflexales. The record is from RNAcentral.